AAGAAAUUUAGGAGGAAUCCUAAAAACUUGGCUUCCUUUACCUUCGGGUACUGGGGCCUAAACACCUCUGUGAACUGUUGUAGCGGAUGAAACAGUUGUUUCGUUAAGUCCCUACAUCUUUUAUUUCACUUUGUUAAAAUUGUGGGUAAAGUUGAUUUUAACUUAAA
RNAcentral lists this unclassified non-coding RNA (167 nucleotides) under uncultured fungus. RNAcentral's name for it is "sequence contains ITS1". The record is from RNAcentral. Lineage: Eukaryota; Fungi.